This 36-nucleotide transfer RNA is filed under the name Uperoleia glandulosa (glandular toadlet). RNAcentral describes it as "partial tRNA-Ala". Lineage: Eukaryota; Metazoa; Chordata; Amphibia; Anura; Myobatrachidae. The record is from RNAcentral.
AUCCAGGUGAUGUGGGGUAGAGUCCUACAAGUCUUA